GAUGAACGCUGGCGGCGUGCCUAAUACAUGCAAGUCGAGCGAACGGACGAGAAGCUUGCUUCUCUGAUGUUAGCGGCGGACGGGUGAGUAACACGUGGAUAACCUACCUAUAAGACUGGGAUAACUUCGGGAAACCGGAGCUAAUACCGGAUAAUAUUUUGAACCGCAUGGUUCAAAAGUGAAAGACGGUCUUGCUGUCGCUUAUAGAUGGAUCCGCGCUGCAUUAGCUAGUUGGUAAGGUAACGGCUUACCAAGGCAACGAUGCAUAGCCGACCUGAGAGGGUGAUCGGCCACACUGGAACUGAGACACGGUCCAGACUCCUACGGGAGGCAGCAGUAGGGAAUCUUCCGCAAUGGGCGAAAGCCUGACGGAGCAACGCCGCGUGAGUGAUGAAGGUCUUCGGAUCGUAAAACUCUGUUAUUAGGGAAGAACAUAUGUGUAAGUAACUGUGCACAUCUUGACGGCACCUAAUCAGAAAGCCACGGCUAACUACGUG
This 497-nucleotide ribosomal RNA is filed under the name uncultured bacterium. Its description in RNAcentral is "partial 16S ribosomal RNA". It matches the Rfam family "Bacterial small subunit ribosomal RNA", at positions 28 to 507 of the family's 1533-position model. The record is from RNAcentral.